UUUUCAGUUUUAAAUAUGUUUUCUUUUAAUAUUAUAUUUGUAUGGGUGUUUUUUGUGAGUGUCUAAAUGGGGUAUUGGGGGGUGGAUGCUGUCGAAUGUGUAGAUAUAUAAAUAGCUUAAUAUGCUUACGAUCUAAACAAAUUUGUUGUGCUCCGACGUACAAAAUAUUCAAACAAAAUGUGAGCAUGGUAAUGCAUGAGAGAAACGUGGCAAAAAUGAACGAACGAACAUUAAAAAUUGUUUGCAAUAAAUAAUAUAUGUAAUUUAAACAAAAUGAAGCUUGCUCUUGAAAUAUGACACUAAAUUUAAUACUUUUUGCAUAGUUUUGUUUCCAUACAAGUAUAACCGAUGAAUAUAAUAGGCAUACAUAUAACAUAUAUGGGUGAUAUGGUAGGAUAGACGGUUGGUUCUUCCGCUUUUUGUGUGCGUUUGUUUUUGUGAACAGCAAUGAACAAUAUUUGUAUUAAAUAAUAUGAUAAUAAAUAGUUAAUAUAUAAUAGGUAUGGUAAUUAUACAAAAAAAACUACAUAAAUACAAAAGUUCAAAGUUCUGUGGAUCCCGACGUCCUGCCGCGGUGGCCGCACUUUCUCCGGCGCCGACAGCUGGAAGUCUCCUCGCGGCCACGCACGCGUAACCAGCGCGCGCCCCCAAUCAUGCCCAGAAUCUGGUGAAUAAGGCAAAGGCGGUAUGGGGUUGAUGUUGUUUAUGUUCUGGAUUUUGAUCCUUAGUACUGCCCGGUGGGAUCUAGGCAGUCCUGUCGCCGCUUCUGGCGCGUCUCGUUUGUGUCGCGUGGUCGACGGUAGGUUCCUGUGGGAUCCAGCAUUUUGUCUGAUUUUCUAUAGCUCUUCUUGCGCAACGGAAAAAGCUUUUCUUGCUUUACUUUACAGCCGGGUAUUGGUUGGCUGGAGGUGUAGCUUGUGGCUUGGUGGCUUGGUGGCUUAAUAGGUGCCAGUGGGGUCCAAAGCGAGCGACAUAUUGAGUUUGAUUUGUAAAAGAUUUCAAAUGUGAUGGAUAAUAUUUGUUAGCUCUAUCUGUUGACAGCUCUUCUUCAGUAUUGACCAGUGGGAUCCAGAUAGGCAGCCAUGGUUAUAUCUUGGAUGGAAUGAUUUUGCGGGGUAGAGAGUGAUGUAAUUUUAGCAGAUUUUCAGGUCUCCCUUCUCGUCUCAGUACUGGCCAGUGGGAUCCAAGUAGGCUGCCAUUUGUAUGCCGUUUAUGUACCAAAAAUACUCGAAUGACAAACCGAACGAACAGAGUCUGCUGCUGUGCUGGCGCUGUUGCUGUGAUCUCCUCCUUUGUUUAAUUUAAAUCAACCUUAUGUUUGUCUGCUUGUAUACCAUUUAUAUUGAACUUUAUACUGGUUCUCUUGGGCUUUGUGGACUUUGCUGCUGUUGUUGUAAGUUCUUUUAUUAUCACCAACAGUGGGCAGUGUCGCUGGGUUUUUCUUGGCUGAUUAUACAGCGUCGCGUGUGUGUGUGUUUUAGCUCUUUUGUGUUGUUGUUUUUGUUAUUGUUGGUCUAUAGUUUUUGUGUGGAAGAGUCACUGACACUUAAAAUCCAUUAAAUACUUUUGUGGAUUGUCUUUAUUGUUUAUUAAUAAACGGCUGACUGCCUAUUUGUGAUUGUUUGAUUUGUUUGGUGGCUUUUAAGGGUCUCAGCGACGCGUGUUUCACGUUUAAAGUUGUUACGGAAAAUCUUUCAAUUUGUUUUCAAAAGAAUUUCUUUUAUUUUCAACUGAGUGUUACGUGCAAAUCUGCGGACUUUUCGGCUGUUUGUGGGCUGCCUGUGGCUGUUGCUGUUGCGAUUACUGCCGGAGCUGUUGGUUGAUCUUGCACUCUCGAACGUUGUCGAUAUUUUGAUUUGAUUUUCGUCGAGCCGUAAGCUUAA
Molecule: long non-coding RNA, 1883 nt
Filed under: Drosophila guanche
Lineage: Eukaryota; Metazoa; Arthropoda; Insecta; Diptera; Drosophilidae
Source: RNAcentral